GGUUAAAUGGCUGAUAAAAGUAAUAGACUGUAAAUCUAUACAUAAGGAAGAUUCCUUUUUAACCA
This 65-nucleotide transfer RNA is filed under the name Microchironomus tabarui. Its description in RNAcentral is "tRNA-Tyr". It matches the Rfam family "tRNA". From Rfam's summary of the family: Transfer RNA (tRNA) molecules are approximately 80 nucleotides in length. Their secondary structure includes four short double-helical elements and three loops (D, anti-codon, and T loops). The record is from RNAcentral. Lineage: Eukaryota; Metazoa; Arthropoda; Insecta; Diptera; Chironomidae.